Molecule: long non-coding RNA, 433 nt
Organism: Cajanus cajan (pigeon pea)
Lineage: Eukaryota; Viridiplantae; Streptophyta; Magnoliopsida; Fabales; Fabaceae
Source: RefSeq, a predicted model, not a curated record
CAUGCUAUUGCCAUGAGCGUGAGCAUUCAAUUCACAUAGACGUUACAUAGAUUCGUUGUCGGAGAGCGGCAGACUCGACGAUUUCAGUUUGAAAAGUUGUGCGUUCGAGCUUGGGUGUAUUCAGAGGCAACGUUGUGAUUAUUACUUCGAUUCGCUCGUCGAUUGUGAUAAUCUGGCAUUCAAAUGAUGAAUCUACAGGGACUUCACAAACCCAAAUCUCCCUACAGAGUAGAAAGGCAGGCCUUCACAACCUGGAUAUGGUGAUGGAGGAAACAUGUAUGCUGCUCAAGGUUCUGGAGCCAGGACAUGUGAUAACUAUUUUAAACUGCUUUGGUUGGUCUGGUUUGUUUGUCAUAUUUUGUCAUUUGUUAAUGUACUAAUGUUUGUCCUAUUUUCCUCUUUCCAACUGGAUUUCCGCGGGUGGGUAUUUUUC